AAAAGCAUUAUUAUUUAAUUAUGCAUUAUUCUUAGCAGUAUAGGGUUUUCCUUUGUGUUCAUAUCAAUUUACCCAUUUUCAUCCACAGACACCCCUAUCUGAACGACCCCAUGCAGUAAACUUCAAAGCUUUGAAGGGAAACACUGAUGUUCCUCACUCCCCGUGGAGUAAAGGCCCUGCCUCAUCCCCAUGCAGUCGGUUUGAUGUUUGUCCUACCAGAGUCUUCAUCCACCUGGGAGUUUGAGGUUUCAAACAUCAGAUGGAAUUUUACAGUGUCGCUACCCAAAGGACAGAGCAUGAACCUGAAUUUAGGAAAAACUAAAUGUUUCACAGUAUGUGUAUCUACAUACGCAGUAUAGCCUAUGAAAUCACUGAAUAUUUAUAAGACCAAGCAAAAAGCUAUUUGUAUGUAUUUUUUCUAAAGUGCUGUGUAACUUUAUUGAAUAAAAUAACUUUUGUGACUGAAGUUUGACCGAACAUUGACAUAUAUAUAUAUAUAUAUAUAUAUAUAUAUACACUCACAAUGAAAAGAAAGUCAAUUUCAUGCAGCACAGCUAGAAAAGUACGUUCUGUGUCAGUAUGUGCCUUUUUUAAAGUAUAUGUACACUAUGUUCCCUACGUUUUUACAUAUUCUAAAAGAGAAAAUGUCCGUGGAAAAUGUAGAAAACAAUGUGAGAGCACCACAGGAUGGUGUUUUCACAGUUAUGCUUGGUUUCCUCCUGCAUGGUGCUAUAAUUUUGACUUAUGCUGUACAAAGCCUUUCACAUGUUCUUGCUCUGCCUGGAUCACAUUCACAUAAGGCAAAUAGAUGCCACCACCACAGCAGGUUUCACGGAUUAAUGUUUCUUUUCUAAUACAUUUCCAACACGUUCAUCGCAUUACCAAUUCUUAAGCUGUUUUCGUGUUCUUGUUACCAUGGACACCAGUUUCCUUCAGGGCUUGGGACAGUUAGACAGUUUGCUAUAGAUAUUGUGCAAUUACAGCUGCCAAAGUGGAAGCCGAGCAUUGAACUAAUGAUGGCAACCGCCAGUGCAUGACUUUGACAGUACAUGGCAACUCAGUUAUGGACUUAUUUUAUUAUCUUAUGCUACUGUUCUGUAUAUUUCCACUUUGUUAUCAUAUAUUAUAGUAGCUGAGUUCCUGUUGUAGUCCUAAGUUCUGUUGUAGUCCUUUUGUCAAUUGUCUUGCCCUAACUGUAGACUUUUCUAUUAAAGGUUUAUUUAAUACAUUGAAGUGCAUUUGGAUUCUGCUCCUCUCCCAGUUAAAAAACAAAUAACUUGCAUCUAUAUACUGCAUGUAGCUUGGCAGGUUGGUCCCAAAUUCCCUCUGCUACUCAGGCAAACGACAUCUUCCUGCCUGUAGGUUGUGCUAUAAUAAGCUCAUUUUGAUCAAUAUCAACACAGCCAUGUAGGCAAGAAACAAAACCAUUUCCUCUUUUGAAUCUUUCCAUUAUGCCUUACAAAACUUAUCUACCCUAUCUUUGUCUGAUUUGCAUGCACAAUGUUUAGUUGGUAGAGGAACACUCUUGAUAAAGUCACCACCACUUGACAGAAGCCUUUUGGAUUGACCAAACUGUUCUCCUAUACUGUGUCGAUAAACUUGACUGUGAAUUUGCCAGAAUGGACUUGAGGCUGUAUCUUUGCAAUGCUUUGGUAUUGACACACGUUUUGGUAUAUGUCAUUAUAAUUAUGACCUGAGGCCACAACCACAUUUUUGAAUAUUGAAUUUGAAUACACAUCAAAUGUGACUAUACCAAAUACAUGUUAUAGUUGACAAUACUUGUUUUCCACUGUACUGAAUUAUAAUAAAACUUUUAUUUUCAAACUU
Long non-coding RNA from Paramisgurnus dabryanus, 1827 nucleotides. RefSeq lists it as uncharacterized. The record is from RefSeq and is a predicted model, not a curated record. Lineage: Eukaryota; Metazoa; Chordata; Actinopteri; Cypriniformes; Cobitidae.